AGGAUAGAGGCCUACCAUGGUGGUAACGGGUAACGGGGUGUUAGGGCACGACACCGGAGAGGGAGCCUGAGAAACGGCUACCACAUCCAAGGAUGGCAGCAGGCGCGCAAAUUACCCAACCCCGACACGGGGAGGUAGUGACAAUAAAUAACAAUACGGGGUUCUUUCGGAUCUCGUAAUUGGAAUGAGUACAAUUUAAAUCUCUUAACGAGGAACAAUUGGAGGGCAAGUCUGGUGCCAGCAGCCGCGGUAAUUCCAGCUCCAAUAGCGUAUAUUAAAGUUGUUGCAGUUAAAAAGCUCGUAGUUGAAUUUCGGGGUUAGUAGGUUGGUCAUGCCUCUGGUAUGUACUGGUCUCACUGAUUCCUCCUUCCUUAUGAACCGUAAUGCCAUUAAUUUGGUGUUGCGGGGAAUUUGGACUGUUACUUUGAAAAAAUUAGAGUGUUUAAAGCAAGCUAACGCUUGAAUACAUUAGCAUGGAAUAAUGAAAUAGGACGUUCGAUCUUAUUUUGUUGGUUUCUAGGAUUGACGUAAUGAUUAAUAGGGAUAGUUGGGGGCAUUAGUAUUCAAUUGUCAGAGGUGAAAUUCUUGGAUUUAUUGAAGACUAACUACUGCGAAAGCAUUUGCCAAGGAUGUUUUCAUUAAUCAAGAACGAAAGUUAGGGGAUCGAAGACGAUCAGAUACCGUCGUAGUCUUAACCAUAAACUAUGCCGACUAGGGAUCGGAU
This 724-nucleotide ribosomal RNA is filed under the name uncultured fungus. RNAcentral's name for it is "SSU rRNA". It matches the Rfam family "Eukaryotic small subunit ribosomal RNA", at positions 330 to 1058 of the family's 1831-position model. The record is from RNAcentral. Lineage: Eukaryota; Fungi.